RNAcentral lists this ribosomal RNA (488 nucleotides) under uncultured bacterium. Its description in RNAcentral is "partial 16S ribosomal RNA". It matches the Rfam family "Bacterial small subunit ribosomal RNA", at positions 28 to 507 of the family's 1533-position model. The record is from RNAcentral.
GACGAACGCUGGCGGCGUGCUUAACACAUGCAAGUCGAACGCGCCUGUCCUCUGGGUUUCUGGGGGGUGGGUGAGUGGCGAACGGGUGAGUAACACGUGAGUAACCUGCCCCCUUCUUCGGGAUAACGGUCUGAAAGGGCUGCUCAUACCGGGUAUUCACUGGUCUCCGCAUGGGGUCUGGUGGAAAGGUUUUUUUCUGGUGGGGGAUGGGCUCGCGGCCUAUCAGCUUGUUGGUGGGGUGAUGGCCCACCAAGGCUUUGACGGGUAGCCGGCCUGAGAGGGUGACCGGUCACAUUGGGACUGAGAUACGGCCCAGACUCCUACGGGAGGCAGCAGUGGGGAAGAUUGCACAAUGGGCGCAAGCCUGAUGCAGCGACGCCGCGUGAGGGAUGGAGGCCUUCGGGUUGUGAACCUCUUUCGCCCGUGGUCAAGCCGCGACGUGGGUCGUGGUGAGGGUAGUGGGUAAAGAAGCGCCGGCUAACUACGUG